UGAGUGCAAGGCUGGAUAGUUUCUGUACAUGUUUUGCAGUUCAGUAUCUGAAAUUAUUUAGCAGUAUUUAGCAGCAACGACUCAUCUGCACUCUUUAUACACAGGCAGUGUGUUCAGUGAAGAGAAGGGGAUGAAAGAAGUUGAUUAAGACGUACCACUUUAAUUAACCAAAUGUCCCCAGGAACAGGAAUAUAGAGCUGCUUUUGAAUCCCGUUCUGAUUUACAGUCUGGAGGGGAUCGAUAAUACCUGCACAAAAAAAGGAGAGUACCACAGAAAGUGUGUCUGACAGUGUCUGUUGUGUUGCCAGUAUAGUUUGCUGAGGACAAGAGGUAUUGUGUCAAAUUCCUUCUCUGAAUAAGGAGGCUUCAUUCAUCACACAGAAAGGGAAGGCUGUAUAAACAUAGAUGUAGGAGACAGUCCCACCUUGGUCUCCACAGUACACCUGUUUACCUGGAAGAACUGCUGUGUGCAGAGAAGGCUGUGACAGCUAGAAGAGGCCUCAAAAGAGUAUCUAAUAUGCACUUGUGAGUGUACAUUUGAAGCAGAACCAUCAAGAAGCAGCGGGAGAAAGUGGAAUAUGCGUGCUGAAAACCUGCUACACUACACCAGCUGCUUCAUCCUGGUUUUAAUUUUAUUUCUGUUCUUUCUCUCCUUGCCAGUAGGGAAGGCUGAGUAAUGUCAGUGUCUUCCCAGUCAUCUUUAUCACUAACGAUCAUUCUGUGUGGCCUAUGUUAAUCAUUCUCACCUGUCUUCAUCUCUCACUAUUAGAUUAAUAGUUGCCAAUUAUGCAUACUCCCCUCUGCACAGCUAUUGUUUACACACUCUGUAAUUCUCUUCAUUAGACCAGUGAGUGGGCAUAAUUAUGGUUAUAAGUUAUCCAUUCAUUUUCUUAAGGACAGUGAGAAAUUUAGUACAACAAGUGUUUGGUUUCAUGAUAACAUCUUGGACUAAUAAGAAGGAAGCUCAGGCAUUAUAGAGUCCUAUCGUAUGCUGUGGGGAAAAUAAAAAGUCUCUUGCUCAGCAUGGAUUUUCUAAGAGUAAAUACCUUGUGAUUUCAGAAAUUUUAGGUGGAACAUGCAGACAACUAUACACUAUUGCCUUGGUCCUCACCACUUUCCAUUUUAACGGGAAAAAAAUAUGAAAGAUAACUUUAGUUUUCUAGCAAGUAAUAGCCAAGACCGACAAUGAGUAGUGGCAAGGUGCUCAGUUUUUCAGCAUUUUUGAUAAAAGCUGGAGUCUAAAGGAGAUAGAAGGUACACACAUGGGGGGCAUUGUUUAUUAGCUGAGAUGAGCAAUCAGAAAGUUCAAUUAUAAGUCAGUUAAAAGUCUCAGUUAGUUUUAAGGAUCACAUCUUAAAUGGAUUAGUUCUGUAAGAAAAUUACUGUGGUCAUCUGAACCGUUACAUGUCUCUGUUUAAGGUGUCUAACUUUCUCUAUUUGUUUAGUAUCUCAUUUAUACAAGAGAUAGUAACGACAAACAUUUAGUUCAUAUUUCUCAUUAGCAGAUUUUCUCAAAUAAAAAUAGUGAGCGUAUUGAACAGUUAAUAAGGAAGUGGAAAUCUCUCCAUAAUUGCAAUCAAAAGUUUAUUUACAAAUAAGGUGGAUUCCCCAGUCCAGAAAGAAAAGGCUGAAUAUUUUGUAAUUAAUUAUUUUUAUCUGAUGCUCUCAUUUGAUCAACAUAUACAAUCAUAAUGCACCAAUAAAUGAAACAUCAUGUUAAUAAUCCUUUUAUCUAAUGGGAAGCAGACUAAGCUAGAGUAAUGUUACUACAGUAAGCAAGUCAGAAAUGUUUUCUUAGCUUUUUGUGCUAGCUGCUAAAUUAGUAGCUUUUAAGUCAUCUCUAUUUCAUAUUUAAGAAAAAAUCUCAAUUUAGGGACCUUACAUUAAUUUCAGAUUCUGUUCUUCAAAGAGUUUCAACUACCUUCUCUCAUUUCACAGAAUACUUAAGUUGACAGGAAAGUCAUCUGAUCCUCAAGCAGGGCCAUCUAGAACAGUUCACCCAGAACCACACAUGGACAGCUUUUGAAGAUCUCCAGAGAGGAAGAACCCAUAAUCUCUCUGAGCACCCCACGCCAGUGUUCUGUCACCCACACAAUAAAGAAGUUUUUCUGAUACUCUAGAAUUUCUGAUGCUAUAGUAUGCAUUUGUCACAUUACUUGCUUGUUCAAACAGAACUUUUUUUCUACUACUAUGCCUCCGUAUCUUUUAUAUAGUCUAUACAGUUUGUACAUCAUGGCAGAUUGUAUCUUAGCGUGUUACUUCCAUUGAUUAGUUUCCAUGGUUGCAAGCAUUAUACAUGGUAGAGCUCAGUAAAUGCAAACCCUUGAAUAGUUCCUUUAAGCUAUAUAUUGCGAGGGGAAGGAGAAGGAAUAAAUCAGUUAGGAUAUCUUCUGUGCCAUCUAUUGUGAUUAAAGUCUUGUUUGCACAAAGUGGUUCAUUAUUUCUUCUGUGAGCCAUGGUUUAGACUUUCUUGUAGAAGGGAGUAUCCAUAAAGAUGGAUCUCCCUCAAAUCUCAGCCAGAACAGGAUCAGUUCAAAUGAUGAAAGCAAGAAUAGUUGUAACACAUGGAAAAACAUCAAAACUCAAAACCAAAAAGUAAUUGAUCCAAAACACCAAGAAUAAUGAUGUUUUCAUUAAAAUGAAAGUAGAACACACAGGUAAAUCCACAGAAUAUAGGAAUAUCUAAUACCAAACAUGCUUGACAUGCUCAACAAGAGACUGCUUUAUUCUUUGAUGGAAAGCUGGGACUGAAUCUGAUAUGUGCAGAAUAAUAGUGGUGGUGAUAAAUGGUUCAAAAGACAUGGAAACCAAAUAUCCUAUAAAUUAAUAUAUAAUUCAAGAAACGAUAUUCACUGAUCAAUUAAAGAGGCUGAUUGCAAAGCGUCUAUAGCAUAUGUGAAAAUGUUUUGAUAAAUACUAUGUACCUCUUUUCAGUUCAUUUGGGCUAGAAGAUUCUCAAAUGGCUUACAACUGAAUAAAGAUGGCAUUAAAAAAG
Molecule: long non-coding RNA, 2995 nt
Organism: Gallus gallus (chicken)
Lineage: Eukaryota; Metazoa; Chordata; Aves; Galliformes; Phasianidae
Source: Ensembl